Molecule: non-coding RNA, 72 nt
Organism: Podarcis lilfordi (Lilford's wall lizard)
Lineage: Eukaryota; Metazoa; Chordata; Lepidosauria; Squamata; Lacertidae
Source: the annotation of a GenBank genome assembly
GGAGCUGUGGCUCAGUGGUAGAGCAUCUGCCUUGCAUGCAGAACAUCACUGGUUCAAUCCCCUUCAUCUCCA